GACGAACGCUGGCGGCGGGCUUAACACAUGCAAGUCGAACGGAAAGGCCCUGCUUUUGUGGGGUGCUCGAGUGGCGAACGGGUGAGUAACACGUGAGUAACCUGCCCUGGACUUUGGGAUAACUUCAGGAAACUGGGGCUAAUACCGGAUAGGAGCGCCUGCUGCAUGGUGGGGGUUGGAAAGUUUCGGCGGUUGGGGAUGGACGCGCGGCUUAUCAGCUUGUUGGUGGGGUAGUGGCUUACCAAGGCUUUGACGGGUAGCCGGCCUGAGAGGGUGACCGGCCACAUUGGGACUGAGAUACGGCCCAGACUCGUACGGGAGGCAGCAGUGGGGAAUAUUGCACAAUGGGCGGAAGCCUGAUGCAGCAGCGCCGCGUGCGGGAUGACGGCCUUCGGGUUGUAAACCGCUUUCGCCUGUGACGAAGCGUGAGUGACGGUAAUGGGUAAAGAAGCACCGGCUAACUACGUG
Molecule: ribosomal RNA, 468 nt
Filed under: uncultured bacterium
Lineage: Bacteria
Description: partial 16S ribosomal RNA
Rfam family: Bacterial small subunit ribosomal RNA
Source: RNAcentral